RNAcentral lists this ribosomal RNA (468 nucleotides) under uncultured bacterium. Its description in RNAcentral is "partial 16S ribosomal RNA". It matches the Rfam family "Bacterial small subunit ribosomal RNA", at positions 28 to 507 of the family's 1533-position model. The record is from RNAcentral.
GACGAACGCUGGCGGCGUGCUUAACACAUGCCAGUCGAACGGAAAGGCCCUGCUUUUGUGGGGUGCUCGAGUGGCGAACGGGUGAGUAACACGUGAGUAACCUGCCCUUGACUUUGGGAUAACUUCAGGAAACUGGGGCUAAUACCGGAUAGGAGCUCCUGCUGCAUGGUGGGGGUUGGAAAGUUUCGGCGGUUGGGGAUGGACUCGCGGCUUAUCAGCUUGUUGGUGGGGUAGUGGCUUACCAAGGCUUUGACGGGUAGCCGGCCUGAGAGGGUGACCGGCCACAUUGGGACUGAGAUACGGCCCAGACUCCUACGGGAGGCAGCAGUGGGGAAUAUUGCACAAUGGGCGGAAGCCUGAUGCAGCAACGCCGCGUGCGGGAUGACAGCCUUCGGGUUGUAAACCGCUUUCGCCUGUGACGAAGCGUGAGUGACGGUAAUGGGUAAAGAAGCACCGGCUAACUACGUG